CCUACGGGAGGCAGCAGUGAGGAAUAUUGGUCAAUGGGCGCGAGCCUGUACCAGCCAAGUAGCGUGAAGGAUGACUGCCCUACGGGUUGUAAACUUCUUUUGCCGGGGAGCAACGGGCGCCACGUGUGGCGUCACUGAGAGUACCCGGAGAAAAAGCAUCGGCUAACUCCGUGCCAGCAGCCGCGGUAAUACGGAGGAUGCGAGCGUUAUCCGGAUUUAUUGGGUUUAAAGGGUGCGUAGGCGGAUCGUUAAGUCAGUGGUCAAAUUGAGGGGCUCAACCCCUUCCCGCCAUUGAAACUGGCGUUCUUGAGUGGAAGAGAAGUAUGCGGAAUGCGUGGUGUAGCGGUGAAAUGCAUAGAUAUCACGCAGAACCCCGAUUGCGAAGGCAGCAUGCCGGCUUCCGACUGACGCUGAAGCACGAAAGCGUGGGGAUCGAACAGGAUUAGAUACCCGAGUAGUC
RNAcentral lists this ribosomal RNA (460 nucleotides) under uncultured bacterium. RNAcentral's name for it is "partial 16S ribosomal RNA". It matches the Rfam family "Bacterial small subunit ribosomal RNA", at positions 338 to 795 of the family's 1533-position model. The record is from RNAcentral.